This 483-nucleotide ribosomal RNA is filed under the name uncultured bacterium. RNAcentral's name for it is "partial 16S ribosomal RNA". It matches the Rfam family "Bacterial small subunit ribosomal RNA", at positions 28 to 507 of the family's 1533-position model. The record is from RNAcentral.
GACGAACGCUGGCGGCGUGCUUAACACAUGCAAGUCGAACGCUGAAGCACUGCUUUUGUGGGGUGGAGGAGUGGCGAACGGGUGAGUAACACGUGAGUAACCUGCCUCCUUCUUUGGGAUAACGCCCGGAAACGGGUGCUAAUACAGGAUAUUAAAUGGCCUUCGCAUGGGGGCUGGGGGAAAGGGUAUCUCUGGUGGGGGAUGGGCCCGCGGCCUAUCUGCUUGUUGGUGGGGUGAUGGCCUACCAAGGCUUUGACGGGUAGGCGGCCGGGGAGGGGGGCCGGUGAGAUUGGGACAGAGAUCCGGCCCAGACUGCUGCGGGCGGUAGCAGUGGGGAGAAAUGGGGAAUGGGCGCAAGCCUGCUGCAGCGCCGCCGCGUGAGGGGUGGAGGCCUUCGGGUUGUGAACCUCUUUGGCAAAUGGUCAAGCCGCAACAAUGGUUGUGGUGAGGGUAUUGGGUAAAGAAGCGCCGGCUAACUACGUG